This 447-nucleotide ribosomal RNA is filed under the name uncultured bacterium. RNAcentral describes it as "partial 16S ribosomal RNA". It matches the Rfam family "Bacterial small subunit ribosomal RNA", at positions 29 to 523 of the family's 1533-position model. The record is from RNAcentral.
AACGAACGCUGGCGGCAGGCUUAACACAUGCAAGUCGAACGCAUCGCAAGAUGAGUGGCAGACGGGUGAGUAACGCGUGGGAAUCUACCCAGUUCUACGGAACAACAGUUGGAAACGACUGCUAAUACCGUAUACGCCCUACGGGGGAAAGAUUUAUCGGAAUUGGAUGAGCUCGCGUAAGAUUAGGUAGUUGGUGGGGUAAUGGCCUACCAAGGCGACGAUCUUUAGCCGGGCUGAGAGGAUGAUCAGCCACACUGGGACUGAGACACGGCCCAGACUCCUACGGGAGGCAGCAGUGGGGAAUAUUGGACAAUGGGAGCAAGCCUGAUCCAGCCAUGCCGCGUGAGUGAUGAAGGCCUUAGGGUUGUAAAGCUCUUCCACCGAUGAAGAUAAUGACGGUAGUCGGAGAAGAAGCCCCGGCUAACUUCGUGCCAGCCGCCGCCGUAA